Molecule: non-coding RNA, 28 nt
Filed under: Homo sapiens (human)
Lineage: Eukaryota; Metazoa; Chordata; Mammalia; Primates; Hominidae
Source: RNAcentral
CAGCAUAGGGUGAUGUGACAGUGAUGGA